Molecule: ribosomal RNA, 428 nt
Filed under: uncultured archaeon
Lineage: Archaea
Description: bacterial SSU rRNA
Rfam family: Archaeal small subunit ribosomal RNA
Source: RNAcentral
UACCUGCAGCUCAAGUAGUGAUCACUAUUAUUGGGCCUAAAACGUUCGUAGCCGGUUUGGUAAAUGCCUGGGUAAAUCGUGUAGCUUAACUAUACGAAUUCCGGGUAGACUGCCAAACUUGAGACCGGGAGAGGCUAGAGGUACUCCUAGGGUAGAGGUGAAAUUCUGUAAUCCUGGGGGGACCACCAGUGGCGAAGGCGUCUAGCUAGAACGGGUCUGACGGUGGGGAACGAAGCCCUGGGGCGCAAACCGGAUUAGAUACCCGGGUAGUCCAGGGUGUAAACGCUGCUUGCUUGAUGUUAGUUGGGCUCCGAGCCCAAUUAGUGUCGGAGAGAAGUUGUUAAGCAAGCUGCCUGGGAAGUACGGUCGCAAGAUUGAAACUUAAAGGAAUUGGCGGGGAGCACCACCAGGCGUGAAGCCUGCGGUUU